RNAcentral lists this ribosomal RNA (288 nucleotides) under uncultured microorganism. Its description in RNAcentral is "partial 16S ribosomal RNA". It matches the Rfam family "Archaeal small subunit ribosomal RNA", at positions 330 to 619 of the family's 1478-position model. The record is from RNAcentral.
GCGCAGCAGGCGAGAAUACUUCACAAUGUGCGAAAGCACGAUGAGGGAAUCCCAAGUGCUUGCACGUAAGUGUAAGCUGUUUCUCUGUCUAAAACGCAGAGAGAGUAAGGGCUGGGUAAGACGGGUGCCAGCCGCCGCGGUAAUACCUGCAGCUCGAGUGGUGACCGUUAUUAUUGGGCCUAAAACGUCCGUAGCCGGUUUAAUAAAUGCCUGGGUAAAUCGGACCGCUUAACGGUUCGAAUUCCGGGUAGACUGUUAAACUUGAGACCGGGAGAAGUUAGAGGUGCU